RNAcentral lists this ribosomal RNA (108 nucleotides) under uncultured eukaryote. Its description in RNAcentral is "partial small subunit ribosomal RNA". The record is from RNAcentral.
UCGCACCUACCGAUUGAAUGGUCCGGUGAAGCCUCGGGAUUGUGGCAAGUACCUUUAUUGGUACUGGUUGCAAGAACUUGUCUAAACCUUAUCAUUUAGAGGAAGUAA